RNAcentral lists this ribosomal RNA (158 nucleotides) under Pyricularia oryzae. RNAcentral's name for it is "5.8S ribosomal RNA". The stretch from base 1 to 122 matches the Rfam family "5.8S ribosomal RNA", at positions 29 to 154 of the family's 154-position model. Rfam says of the family: 5.8S ribosomal RNA (5.8S rRNA) is a component of the large subunit of the eukaryotic ribosome. It is transcribed by RNA polymerase I as part of the 45S precursor that also contains 18S and 28S rRNA. The record is from RNAcentral. Lineage: Eukaryota; Fungi; Ascomycota; Sordariomycetes; Magnaporthales; Pyriculariaceae.
UGCAUCGAUGAGACGCAGCGACGCGAUAAGUAAUUGUGAUUUGCAGAAUUCAGUGAUCAUCGAAUCUUUGACCGCACAUUGCGCCCGCGGUUAUUCGGCGGCUUUGCCUGUUUCGAGCGUCAUUUCAACCUCAAGCCUCGCUUGGUGUUGGGGCGCGG